GUGGGCCCUCGAAAUCCGUCGGCGGGGGAUUCAGUCGGAAAGCGCGGGCUCGUGCGCCGGUCGUUUCAUCGGACCCUCUCCAGGGCCGGGCCGGCGUCGAAGUCUCCGUGCGAUCCGACGCACUUCCUCCCGCCCUGAGGACGCCGCAGCCGGUUGGGUAGCUGCGUGAGUCGGCCAUAAGGAUGGGCGCCGGAAGGUGGCCAGUGGCGUUCCCCGUGUUCGUCGCUGGUCGUUAUCCAGCCCGUCCGUGGCACGACACCCGACCGAGGUCGAUGGGUCCCGGUUAGGACCUUGCCGUCCCCUCCCCUGUGGUCGAGCGGACGCUCCAGCAGGCGAUUGCCCGUGCGGUCGUCCCACUCUUCGAGUGGACGGUCCUCUGGUGGCGCCGUUGGCGAGGAUGCGUUCCGCGCGGGGUUCAGGCGGCUUGCGGCGAGUAGGUCGGUCACCCACCCGACCCGUCUUGAAACACGGACCAAGGAGUCUAACAUGUGCGCGAGUCACGGGGUCUUGUUCAGGCCCAGAGGCGCAAUGAAAGUGAAGGUCGACCUCGACGUCGGCCGUGUUGGGACUCUCCGCCCUCGCGGCGGGGAAGCACCAACGACCCGUCCUAUCCGAUUCAUCGGUUGGGCGRAGUGUGAGCGUACACGUUGGGACCCGAAAGAUGGUGAACUAUGCCUGGGCAGGACGAAGCCAGAGGAAACUCUGGUGGAGGUCCGUAGCGGUUCUGACGUGCAAAUCGAUCGUCAGACCUGGGUAUAGG
RNAcentral lists this ribosomal RNA (760 nucleotides) under Conothele sp. MYG526. RNAcentral describes it as "partial 28S ribosomal RNA". The stretch from base 472 to 760 matches the Rfam family "Eukaryotic large subunit ribosomal RNA", at positions 665 to 921 of the family's 3401-position model. The record is from RNAcentral. Lineage: Eukaryota; Metazoa; Arthropoda; Arachnida; Araneae; Ctenizidae.